UACGAAGGGGCCUAGCGUUGUUCGGAAUCACUGGGCGUAAAGCGCACGUAGGCGGAUAUGUCAGUCAGGGGUGAAAUCCCGGGGCUCAACCUCUGAACUGCCUUUGAUACAGCAUGUCUUGAGUCCGAUAGAGGUGGGUGGAAUUCCUAGUGUAGAGGUGAAAUUCGUAGAUAUUAGGAAGAACACCGGUGGCGAAGGCGGCCCACUGGAUCGGUACUGACGCUGAGGUGCGAAAGCGUGGGGAGCAAACAGG
This 253-nucleotide ribosomal RNA is filed under the name uncultured bacterium. RNAcentral's name for it is "partial 16S ribosomal RNA". It matches the Rfam family "Bacterial small subunit ribosomal RNA", at positions 524 to 776 of the family's 1533-position model. The record is from RNAcentral.